Molecule: ribosomal RNA, 468 nt
Filed under: uncultured bacterium
Lineage: Bacteria
Description: partial 16S ribosomal RNA
Rfam family: Bacterial small subunit ribosomal RNA
Source: RNAcentral
GACGAACGCUGGCGGCGUGCUUAACACAUGCAAGUCGAACGGAAAGGCCCUGCUUUUGUGGGGUGCUCGAGUGGCGAACGGGUGAGUAACACGUGAGUAACCUGCCCUUGACUUUGGGAUAACUUCAGGAAACUGGGGCUAAUACCGGAUAGGAGCUCCUGCUGCAUGGUGGGGGUUGGAAAGUUUCGGCGGUUGGGGAUGGACUCGCGGCUUAUCAGCUUGUUGGUGGGGUAGUGGCUUACCAAGGCUUUGACGGGUAGCCGGCCUGAGAGGGUGACCGGCCACAUGGGGACUGAGAGAGGGCCCAGACUCCAACGGGAGGCAGCAGUGGGGAAUAUUGCACAAUGGGCGGGGGCCUGAUGCAGCAACGCCGCGUGCGGGAUGACGGCCUUCGGGUUGUAAACCGCUUUCGCCUGUGACGAAGCGUGAGUGACGGUAAUGGGUAAAGAAGCACCGGCUAACUACGUG